This 478-nucleotide ribosomal RNA is filed under the name uncultured bacterium. Its description in RNAcentral is "partial 16S ribosomal RNA". It matches the Rfam family "Bacterial small subunit ribosomal RNA", at positions 28 to 523 of the family's 1533-position model. The record is from RNAcentral.
GACGAACGCUGGCGGCGUGCUUAACACAUGCAAGUCGAACGGUAAGGCCCUUCGGGGUACACGGGUGGCGAACGGGUGAGUAACACGUGGGUGAUCUGCCCUGCACUUCGGGAUAAGCCUGGGAAACUGGGUCUAAUACCGGAUAGGACUCCGGACUGCAUGGUCUGGGGUGGAAAGCUUUUGCGGUGUGGGAUGGGCCCGCGGCCUAUCAGCUUGUUGGUGGGGUGAUGGCCUACCAAGGCGACGACGGGUAGCCGGCCUGAGUGGGUGACCGGCAACACUGGGACUGAGAUACGGCCCAGACUCCUACGGGAGGCAGCAGUGGGGAAUAUUGCACAAUGGGCGCAAGCCUGAUGCAGCGACGCCGCGUGAGGGAUGACGGCCUUCGGGUUGUAAACCUCUUUCAGCAUCGACGAAGCGAAAGUGACGGUAGGUGCAGAAGAAGGACCGGCCAACUACGUGCCAGCAGCCGCCGUAA